UGCAGUCGAGCGAGAAGCUCUCUUCGGAGAGUGAGUAGAGCGGCGCACGGGUGAGUAACGCGUGGAUAAUCUGCCCUGAAGAUCGGGAUAACAGUUGGAAACGGCUGCUAAUACCGUAUAAUCUGCAUAUUUAACUUUAUGUGGGAAAGAUGGCCUCUACUUGUAAGCUAUCACUUUUGGAUGAGUCCGCGUCUCAUUAGCUUGUUGGUGGGGUAAUGGCCUACCAAGGCAACGAUGAGUAGCUGGUCUGAGAGGAUGAUCAGCCACACUGGGACUGAAACACGGCCCAGACUCCUACGGGAGGCAGCAGUGGGGAAUAUUGCGCAAUGGGGGAAACCCUGACGCAGCGACGCCGCGUGUAGGAAGAAGGCCUUCGGGUCGUAAACUACUGUCAAGAGGGAAGAAACCGUAGAGCAUUAAUACGGCUCUGCGCUGACGGUACCUCUAGAGGAAGCACCGGCUAACUCCGUGCCAGCAGCCGCGGUAAUACGGAGGGUGCGAGCGUUAAUCGGAAUCACUGGGCGUAAAGCGUGCGUAGGCGGCGUGUCAAGUCAGGCGUGAAAGCCCUCGGCUCAACCGGGGAAUUGCGCUUGAAACUGGUAUGCUAGAGUCUCGGAGAGGUUGGCGGAAUUCCAGGUGUAGGAGUGAAAUCCGUAGAUAUCUGGAGGAACACCGGUGGCGAAGGCGGCCAACUGGACGAGUACUGACGCUGAGGUACGAAAGCGUGGGUAGCAAACAGGAUUAGAUACCCUGGUAGUCCACGCUGUAAACGAUGGAUAU
Molecule: ribosomal RNA, 780 nt
Filed under: uncultured bacterium
Lineage: Bacteria
Description: bacterial SSU rRNA
Rfam family: Bacterial small subunit ribosomal RNA
Source: RNAcentral